UUCUUGGAGAUUCCAUAGCAGUUGAAGGAGAGAUCAUUCUACUAGUAAUUGCUAGAGCAAAGCCUUAUUAGAAGACUAUGCAGUGGGCUUUCCUCAUUGUCCAAGUACCUUCUGCCUAUAAUGCAAUCCUCAGACGAUCAAGACUUAACACCCUUCAAGUGAUCAUCUCCACCUAACAUUUGCUGAUAUGAUUCCUAACUCAAGAUGGAGUCGGCA
RNAcentral lists this long non-coding RNA (216 nucleotides) under Elaeis guineensis (African oil palm). Its description in RNAcentral is "long non-coding RNA (EGUI_LNC051297)". Lineage: Eukaryota; Viridiplantae; Streptophyta; Magnoliopsida; Arecales; Arecaceae. The record is from RNAcentral.